UACAAGUGCAGUUUUACACCAUUCAUCUUCAACAUUUGAUCAUUCGUUUUAUUUAUUUUUUUUUAUGAUUACUAUUUUUAUUGUUAUUAGAUGAUAAAAUAUAAAUAAUACUUUAUGUGUGACUAACUUUUUUUUUUAAUUUUUCAUAAAAUUUUUAAAUAAGAGGUCAAACGUUGGAUACGGAUUUUCAAUGCUGCAUUUAUU
Molecule: microRNA precursor, 204 nt
Filed under: Oryza glumipatula
Lineage: Eukaryota; Viridiplantae; Streptophyta; Magnoliopsida; Poales; Poaceae
Description: MIR812 microRNA precursor family
Rfam family: MIR812 microRNA precursor family
Source: Rfam by way of RNAcentral